CUUAUGCCCCCCGCCCCCGCCUCGGCCGCGUCCCCGCGCUCCCGGCAGCCUGCGAGGGGGAGGAGGAGGGGGCGUGGGGUCCGCCGCCGCUGCAGACAACGACAGGAGCCGGGUGCUGGACCCAAACCUGGAGGGGACGCCAGAGCCACGGCGAGGCUUUUGCACGCUGGGGCCCCACCCCACCUCAAGGGGACCACGCCUGCGCCUUAACUCUGGCAGCGCCGCCGGCGCCGCGAGCUAGAAUUUGCUUGGCAUCGAGAGGUGCCCUGGGUGUUGGCAGGCGGCGCCUCCCUCACUUUGGGCCGGACAGUGUGUGUGUGUGUGUGUGUGUGUGUGUGUGUGUGUGUGNNNNNNNNNNNNNNNNNGUGUGUGUGUGUGUGUGUGUGUGUGUGUGUGUGUGUGUGUGUGUGUCCUUUGGCCUCACCAGAGGCUCCAAAUCGGCCACCCGCACCCAGAGGCAAGGUACUUCUGGGCCCACACAGCUUCUGGAGGCCCAGCUCCCAGGAAUGCUAGGGACCGUUAAUGCGACUUUUAGCCUAAAGGCCAAGGAUACAUUAGCGAAGGGCAAACACGGCACAAUGAUCAUUUAUCAUCUGGAGCCGGAGAGGGCGCUGGGAACCCUGUCCUGGCCUCAGGACUCAAGCUGAACCUAACUAAGGGAGUGACAAGCAGGACUGGCCACAUCUGUGAUUAUUCCAAGGCAGCUGCUCCUGCAGAAACACAGAGUCUUUGUCAGCAUCCUGUGCCCUGGCCCAGUUUCCAUGACGGCCAUCGGUCCUCAGGCUGCUUGUCAGAGAAGAACCCAUCACUCUGACCAUGGUCAGGAGGCAGCUUGCCCGGGUCCUGGGAAACCCACUGCAUCGGCUCUGGCUCUGGCUCUACGUCCACCUCUCACCACAGCGCCCCUCCCCCACCUGUGAAGGUAAAGUCUUUCCUUUCUGAUCUUGUCACUUGUCACUAGGCAAGACCACGCCCUCCAUGCCAGCUUCCGGACUGCCUGGCGUGCUGAGACAUGAGCAGAAGCAGACAGAGAGGCCGAGGUCUUCAGAGGAACCCGGGAGAGGGUGGCGAGCAGUGGCUACCUGCCCUUGGGCUGCGUCCUGGAGGCGCUUCACCCUGACCUUGGCUUCCUACCCUCUGGGUGGUGUCACCCCAGGUCUGGAGGCGG
This 1168-nucleotide long non-coding RNA is filed under the name Sus scrofa (pig). RNAcentral describes it as "lncRNA (ENSSSCG00050014352.1)". Lineage: Eukaryota; Metazoa; Chordata; Mammalia; Artiodactyla; Suidae. The record is from RNAcentral.